This 87-nucleotide unclassified non-coding RNA is filed under the name Pseudomonas migulae. The record is from RNAcentral. Lineage: Bacteria; Pseudomonadati; Pseudomonadota; Gammaproteobacteria; Pseudomonadales; Pseudomonadaceae.
GUAGGAGCCGGCUUGCUGGCGAUGAACGAUCACGCGGAUUAUCUGGUUAACCGCGGGGGUCUGGAUCGCCAGCAAGCCGGCUCCUAC